UUUAUUACUUGUCUAAAAAAUUAAUGAUUAAUUUUUAUAAGAAAAAUAAUUUUUACUUUAUUUAAAUUAAGUAAAUUUUAAUGAAAUAAUGUGUAUAUAGACUAUAGAGAAAAGUACUGUAAAGGAAAGUUUUUAUAAUUAAAAUUUUUAUAGUAAAAAUAAAAGUUUGUACCUUGUGUAUCAGGGAAAAUUUAUAUAAACUAUUUAAUUAUAGUUGUCUCGAAAUAAAAACAGUUAAUUUUAUAAAAAAUUUUUUGUAAAAAAUAAAUUUUUAAUAUAAAGUUAAAGAUGAAACAUCAGUCGAGUUUUAUUAUAUCUAGUUUUUUAAAAAAUAAAUUAAAUUUAUUUUUUAUGUGAAUUAUAUAUAAGAAUAAAAUAUAGGAGGGAUUAGCUUCUUAUAAUAUAAAAAUAAAAAGUUAUUUUAAGUUUUAAUAUUUAAAUUAGUCUUAAAAGUAGACAUAUUUAUAAAGUGUUUUAACUAAAUUUUUCAUGUUAUAUUAUUUAUAAUAACUUUUUGAAGUAUUAAAAAACUGAUUUUAAUAAAAAAAAUCUUGGUAUAAUAAUUUUAUUAGUAAAAUUUUAUGUUAAUCUAAAAAAGUAAAAUAGCUAUUUAUUUUAUAGAAAAUAUGUGAUAAUAUAUAGGAACUCGGCAAAAAAUUUUUUUGCCUGUUUAUCAAAAACAUGUCUGUUUGUAGAUAUAAAAAGUCUAGCCUGCUCACUGAUAAAAUUUUUAAGAGCCGCGGUAUUUCUGACUGUGCAAAGGUAGCAUAAUCGUUAGUUUUUUAAUUGAAAUCUUGUAUGAAUGGUUUGACAAAAAAAAGACUGUCUUUAUGAUUAUUAAUUGAAUUUAACUUUUAAGUGAAAAGGCUUAAAUAAAUUAAAAAGACGAUAAGACCCUAUAAAGCUUAAUAAAAAUUUUUUAUUUAAUAAAAUUUUUUAUAAAUAUAAAUGUUUGGUAAAUAAUUUUAUUUUAUUGGGGUGAUAAUGGUAAAAUGAUUAUUAACUGUUAAUUAAAUUAAGACAAAAAUAAAUGAAUUAUAAAUUUUAUUUAAUAAAUGAUCCUGUUUAAAGAUUAAGAGUUUAAGUUACUUUAGGGAUAACAGCGUUAUUUUUUUUGAGAGUUCUUAUCGAGAAAAAAGUUUGCGACCUCGAUGUUGAAUUAAAAUAUCUGUAUAAUUGUAGCAGUUAUAUGAGAAGGUCUGUUCGACCUUUAAAUUUUUACAUGAUUUGAGUUCAAACCGGUGUAAGCCAGGUUGGUUUCUAUCUUUUAAUAAUGAGAAAAUUAUUUUAGUACGAAAGGAUUAAAUAAUUAAAAUUAUUUUUAAUGUUGG
This 1331-nucleotide ribosomal RNA is filed under the name Parasesarma pictum. RNAcentral describes it as "16S ribosomal RNA". The stretch from base 1096 to 1255 matches the Rfam family "Bacterial large subunit ribosomal RNA", at positions 2473 to 2632 of the family's 2925-position model. Lineage: Eukaryota; Metazoa; Arthropoda; Malacostraca; Decapoda; Sesarmidae. The record is from RNAcentral.